Anas platyrhynchos (mallard) is the source of this 2043-nucleotide non-coding RNA. Lineage: Eukaryota; Metazoa; Chordata; Aves; Anseriformes; Anatidae. The record is from RefSeq and is a predicted model, not a curated record.
GAUCCGGAGCAGCUAACAAACUGCCUAAAGUAAGGACAAACUCUCAGCUGCCUCCCGCUGGAAGCAGCAUUGCCUUGUGCUCUAGGAGGAACAGACCAGACAGUAAUUGCUCUUUGGGUAACAGCUCUGGCGGGAUGCACAAAGCUGCAGCAACUCUUACAGGUUUGGGGAAUUAAAGAACAAUUAAGCACAUGGGUCCUCAUUUAGGCACGGCAGGGGUAGGCUCUUACACCGCUAUGCCAGCUGAUGAUGGAAGAGUAAGAUCUUUGCAGCUGUGGUGUUCUGUGUGUAAAACGUAUUGUCACAAAACUGAUUUAUCUUGGCCUUAAUUAUUUUCAAUCGUUUUGCCCCUUACUCAGAUGAUCUGCACAGCAUCCCACUUUGAGGCACGCUCUCGAUGGUCAGUGCAGCUUCAGCCCGUUUGCUGACAGCUCUGCAGCCUGCUCCUGGACCAGCAGCUCCUGUGCUGGCUGGUGUGUUAAGGUCGCUGGAAAGCUGUGCUGUGUUGUACUUGGUGUACACGAACAUCCUUCUGGUGAUUGAUGGCUACACCCUACGGAAAUGUUUUAAUUCUGUCCUUGAAGCGUGCCUUCAGGAACACUGUCAGUACGUAUUCUUCGUCGAGCAGCACACAGCACUUGGGAAUCCGCAGCAGCCCGAGGUCCCUGGCUUCUGCCCAUGGGCAUUCAAUAACCUCUCCUCUGGGCUUUGAAUUCAGUCCCCAAGCCUUCAACCAAGGGACUUAUCUACCUCUGAUUUACUAGAAGGGGCUACUUUAAAAGGCAUACUUAGGACACGAAGAUUCCCACAAAAAAGCAGCAUCAGCUGGUAAAUCACAAACCCAACUAUCAGAUCCCAAGAAAUAAUGUGUGUCCUCCUCAGUCAGGUUGCUCACAAUUACUCCAAGCCACAGCCACGUCCAGCAUCUUGCCUUCACUUUGAUGUUGUUUGCUGCAGUAAUCUGUCCAGAAUCCAGUCAAUCUGAACAGAUGUAUAGGAAAAUAGCAAAGGCUACUGUCCUUUAUCGUUUAUGUUUCACUUUGCACAAUUAUCAAGGAAAAUACUUGAAUACUAAAAAACUUUUGCAGAACUUGGCUUCAGGAGGGCAGAAUUCCACCCUUUUAUGUAUUGUUCCCGUUUGCAAUAACUCCUCUUUAAACCAUAUUCCUGAGCUAUCUGAAGCCUCUGGCCAGAACCUGCAGUUGAGAGGCACAGUUAAAAUGCUUCGAGCUGGCUGAUAUUACAAGACUAGACCCUACUUUAAAGACGUUUAAUGUUACCACACGGCAGCCAAGCCCUCCAACAUGGCAGGUUUGCAAGCCAGCAAGUCACCUGCAGCUUCUCAUGUCAUCUGCUCCAGUGACACCAGCGAGAUAAACUGGAAAAUAGGAACAAAGCACUGGAAAUAUUCCAAAGCUGCCGUAUCCCAGAGGUUAUUUAACUUGGACUUCACACUCCUAAGAUUUCCAUGAAAUAGACUGAGAACUGAAACAGUAGCCGGUAUUAAGCACAGAAUCAGUAAUUUAACUGUUACUCCACAUUUUUUUUACAAUCCUCACUGGAUGUAAACCAGCUUUUUGUCCUGGUGAUACAACGUUGCUACCUGAAAAAUGGCAUUCUCAAGGGGGGGAAAUCGGUAUAGAAAAUCCUGUGGUGAAUGAAAAAACAACUUGGCAGAAAAAAAAGGAUAAUUUUGAAAAGCUUAUUAAUGGGUAGGGUUUUUUGUUUGUUUGUUUUUCUGUACUUCAUAACAAUUUCUGCACUGGAUACCAUUACCUUUGGAUUCUGUGGGUUUUCCAGGAAAAUGAUUCACUGAAAGUUGUGUGUGCUUUCAACAAGGAAAAUCAAGAGCCAAACUCCACUUGUCAUUUACCAGUAUUUGUUAUUCAUUUUUGAUGGUUUCAGAUUCAUGGUUUCUACUCCCUCUGAAAGUAAUUAGAACAGUUAUUUAUAAGUAAUAGGAAAAUAAAUUUGUAAAAUCCUUUAUCAGUAUAUUUCAAUGUUAAAAACAACAAUAAAGAAUUAACUCCUCCUCCAAUAAAA